AAACUUUCAACAACGGAUCUCUUGGUUCCCGCAUCGAUGAAGAACGCAGCGAAACGCGAUAGUUAAUGUGAAUUGCAGAAUUCAGUGAAUCAUCGAGUCUUUGAACGCACAUUGCGCCUCCUGGUAUUCCGGGAGGCACGUCCGUUUGAGCGUCAGC
This 157-nucleotide ribosomal RNA is filed under the name Hyalorbilia sp. HMAS 138509. Its description in RNAcentral is "5.8S ribosomal RNA". It matches the Rfam family "5.8S ribosomal RNA". From Rfam's summary of the family: 5.8S ribosomal RNA (5.8S rRNA) is a component of the large subunit of the eukaryotic ribosome. Lineage: Eukaryota; Fungi; Ascomycota; Orbiliomycetes; Orbiliales; Orbiliaceae. The record is from RNAcentral.